This 373-nucleotide ribosomal RNA is filed under the name uncultured organism. RNAcentral's name for it is "partial 16S ribosomal RNA". It matches the Rfam family "Bacterial small subunit ribosomal RNA", at positions 527 to 896 of the family's 1533-position model. The record is from RNAcentral.
GUAGGUGGCAAGCGUUGUCCGGAAUUAUUGGGCGUAAAGCGCGCGCAGGGCGGUUUUUAAGUCUGAUGUGAAAGCCCACGGGCUCAACCGUGGAGGGUCAUUGGAAACUGGAGAACUUGAGUACAGAAGAGGAAAGCGGAAUUCCACGUGUAGCGGUGAAAUGCGUAGAGAUGUGGAGGAACACCAGUGGCGAAGGCGGCUUUCUGGUCUGUAACUGACGCUGAGGCGCGAAAGCGUGGGGAGCAAACAGGAUUAGAUACCCUGGUAGUCCACGCCGUAAACGAUGAGUGCUAAGUGUUAGGGGGUUUCCGCCCCUUAGUGCUGCAGCUAACGCAUUAAGCACUCCGCCUGGGGAGUACGGCCGCAAAGGCUG